AGAGUUUGAUCCUGGCUCAGAUUGAACGCUGGCGGCAUGCCUUACACAUGCAAGUCGAACGGUAACAGGUCUUCGGGUGCUGACGAGUGGCGAACGGGUGAGUAAUACAUCGGAACGUGCCCGAUCGUGGGGGAUAACGCAGCGAAAGCUGUGCUAAUACCGCAUACGAUCUACGGAUGAAAGCAGGGGACCGCAAGGCCUUGCGCGGACGGAGCGGCCGAUGGCAGAUUAGGUAGUCGGUGGGAUAAAAGCUUACCAAGCCGACGAUCUGUAGCUGGUCUGAGAGGACGACCAGCCACACUGGGACUGAGACACGGCCCAGACUCCUACGGGAGGCAGCAGUGGGGAAUUUUGGACAAUGGGGGAAACCCUGAUCCAGCCAUGCCGCGUGCAGGAUGAAGGCCUUCGGGUUGUAAACUGCUUUUGUACGGAACGAAAAGAUCUCUUCUAAUAAAGGGGGUUCAUGACGGUACCGUAAGAAUAAGCACCGGCUAACUACGUGCCAGCAGCCGCGGUAAUACGUAGGGUGCGAGCGUUAAUCGGAAUUACUGGGCGUAAAGCGUGCGCAGGCGGUUAUAUAAGACAGAUGUGAAAUCCCCGGGCUCAACCUGGGAACUGCAUUAGUGACUGUAUAGCUAGAGUGCGGCAGAGGGGGAUGGAAUUCCGCGUGUAGCAGUGAAAUGCGUAGAUAUGCGGAGGAACACCGAUGGCGAAGGCAAUCCCCCUGGGCCUGCACUGACGCUCAUGCACGAAAGCGUGGGGGAGCAAACAGGAUUAGAUACCCUGGUAGUCCACGCCCU
This 800-nucleotide ribosomal RNA is filed under the name uncultured bacterium. Its description in RNAcentral is "bacterial SSU rRNA". It matches the Rfam family "Bacterial small subunit ribosomal RNA", at positions 8 to 803 of the family's 1533-position model. The record is from RNAcentral.